UGUCUGUACCCGAAGUCGCCUAUCCUAACCGCAAGGAGGGGGGUGCCUAAGGUGUUGAUGAUGACUGGAGUGAAGUCGUAACAAGGUAGCUGUAGGUGAACCUGCAGAAGGAUCA
This 115-nucleotide ribosomal RNA is filed under the name uncultured eukaryote. Its description in RNAcentral is "partial small subunit ribosomal RNA". It matches the Rfam family "Bacterial small subunit ribosomal RNA", at positions 1412 to 1525 of the family's 1533-position model. The record is from RNAcentral.